This 440-nucleotide ribosomal RNA is filed under the name uncultured bacterium. Its description in RNAcentral is "partial 16S ribosomal RNA". It matches the Rfam family "Bacterial small subunit ribosomal RNA", at positions 338 to 795 of the family's 1533-position model. The record is from RNAcentral.
CCUACGGGUGGCAGCAGUGGGGAAUAUUGGGCAAUGGGGGCAACCCUGACCCAGCCAUGCCGCGUGAGUGAAGAAGGGCUUCGGAUCGUAAAGCUCUAUCGGACGUGACGAUGAUGACGGUAGCGUCUAAAGAAGCACCGGCUAACUACGUGCCAGCAGCCGCGGUAAUACGAAGGGUGCGAGCGUUGUUCGGAAUUACUGGGCGUAAAGGGAGCGUAGACGGCAAUGUAAGCCAGCAGUGAAAGGCCGGGGCUCAACCCCGGGACUGCCAUUAUGACUAUGUAUCUAGAGUAAAGGAGAGGAUAGCGGAAUACCUAGUGUAGAGGUGAAAUUCGUAGAUAUUGGGUAGAACACCGGUGGCGAAGGCGGCUAUCUGGACUUUGACUGACGUUGAGGCUCGAAAGCGUGGGGAUCAAACAGGAUUAGAUACCCGUGUAGUC